ACUCCUGCGGGAGGCAGCAGUGGGGAAUAUUGGACAAUGGGCGCAAGCCUGAUCCAGCCAUGCCGCGUGAGUGAUGAAGGCCCUAGGGUUGUAAAGCUCUUUCACCGGUGAAGAUAAUGACGGUAACCGGAGAAGAAGCCCCGGCUAACUUCGUGCCAGCAGCCGCGGUAAUACGAAGGGGGCUAGCGUUGUUCGGAUUUACUGGGCGUAAAGCGCACGUAGGCGGACUAUUAAGUCAGGGGUGAAAUCCCGGGGCUCAACCCCGGAACUGCCUUUGAUACUGGUAGUCUUGAGUUCGAGAGAGGUGAGUGGAAUUCCGAGUGUAGAGGUAAAAUUCGUAGAUAUUCGGAGGAACACCAGUGGCGAAGGCGGCUCACUGGCUCGAUACUGACGCUGAGGUGCGAAAGCGUGGGGAGCAAACAGGAUUAGAAACCCCGGUAGUCCCAUG
RNAcentral lists this ribosomal RNA (448 nucleotides) under uncultured organism. RNAcentral describes it as "partial 16S ribosomal RNA". It matches the Rfam family "Bacterial small subunit ribosomal RNA", at positions 335 to 799 of the family's 1533-position model. The record is from RNAcentral.